Molecule: long non-coding RNA, 1227 nt
Filed under: Physcomitrium patens
Lineage: Eukaryota; Viridiplantae; Streptophyta; Bryopsida; Funariales; Funariaceae
Description: long non-coding RNA (PPAT_LNC013193)
Source: RNAcentral
AUACCCAAGCACAUUUUUGAGAUUAUCGUCUAUUUGGUAAUUCUGAUUCUUUUCAAAUUUUUUAUACUUGUUUUCAACUUAGUUUUUUAGAAGUGUGCAAAAUUUGAGUUAAGAUCAAUAGUUCAUUAAUUAAUUAUUGAGGUUUAAAUCUGUUUUUGAAAUUACUAGGGUUUAGUUAAGAUUUGAUUUAGGAUCAGGGUUUGAUUAGGGUUUGAUUUAGGAUUAGGAUUCAGUUAGGAUUUGAUUUAGGAUUUAAGAUUAGAAUUAAGGUUUGAUUAGGAUUUGAUUUAGGAUUAGGGUUUGGUUAGGAUUUGGUUAAAGUUUGAUUUAGGAUUAAGGUUUGGUUUAGGAUUUAGGGUUUGAUUAGGAUUUGAUUUAGGAUUAGGAUUUGGUUUAGGAUUUAGGAUUUGGUUUUCGAUUUAGGAUUAGAAUUAAGAUUUGGUUAGGAUUUGAUUUAGUGUUAGGAUUUGGUUAGGGUUUGCUUACGAUUUGAUUUAGGAUUAGGAUAUGGUUUAGGAUUUAGGAUUUGGUUAGGGUUUGAUUUAGGAUUAGGAUUUGAUUUAGGAUUAGGAUUUGGUUUAGGAUUUGGUUAUGGUUUGAUUUAGGAUUAGGAUUUGAUUUAGGAUUAAGGAUUUGAUUAGAAUUUGAUUUAGGAUUAGGAUUUGGUUAGGAUUUGAUUUAAGGUUUAGGAUUUGGUUUAAAGUUGGUUAAGAUUUGAUUUAGGAUUAGGAUUUGAUUAGGAUUUGAUUUAGGAUUAGGGUUUAGUUAGGAUUUGAUUAAGAUUUUAUUUAGGAUUAGAAUUUGGUUUAGGAUUGGUUUAGGGUUUAGGAUUUGAUUAGGAUUUGAUUUAGGAUUAGGAUUUGAUUUAAGGUUUAGGAUUUGGUUUAGGGUUUAAGGUUUGAUUGGGAUUUGAUCAAGAUUUGAUUUAGGAUUUAGGAUUUUAUUUGAAUUUAUUUAGGAUUUAAGAUUUAGUUAGUUUUUGGCCUAAAAUUUGAAUGAAAUCCAAUAAGAUUUCAACUAGGAUUAAAUUAAGAUUGAAUUGAGAUGUAUUUGAGAUAUGUUUGUAAUCAUUCUAAUAUUUAUUUAAGAUUUCUUGUUGUUUCUUUGGAAUUUCUUUGAGGUUUCUCUGAAUUUGAUUAAAGCUUAUUUAGCAUUGUUAAUGUUCUAUUAGAAUUAGGAUUUUGUUGUUGUAAUUUCUAUUCUACCUUCCACAGCCAGGUGCUUGGA